Molecule: non-coding RNA, 71 nt
Organism: Chondromyces apiculatus DSM 436
Lineage: Bacteria; Pseudomonadati; Myxococcota; Polyangiales; Polyangiaceae
Source: Rfam
GGGGUGAUGGUUCAAAGGAAGAACGCUGCUCUUGCACAGCAGACAUCGGGGUUCGAGUCCUCGUCACUCCA